AAGUCUGGUGCCAGCAGCCGCGGUAAUUCCAGCUCCAAUAGCGUACGUUAAAAGUUGCUGCAGUUAAAAAGCUCGUAGUUGAACGUUCGGGUUCCGCGGGACGGGGCCGCCCCGCGAGGGACGGCGCCGCCCCGGGGCUCGUGAUAUCUCAUCUCGCCGCCCGUCGCGAGGCGGACGGAGGGAUGGAUGAGGUUACCUGGAAAAAAUCGGGGCGAUCUAGGCGGGCGAACCUCGCCAACGAACGAUCGGACAUGGGAUAACGGAAGAGGGCGUCGGCUCGACUUCGUCGGUUCCUCGGGCCGAGGCACGUACGGUGAAUAGGGACGGUCGGGGCCGCCCGUACCGGGUCGUGAGAGGUGAAAUUCUAGGAUCGACCCGAGACGAACCGCCGCGAAAGCAUUCGGCAAGGACGCUUUCAUUAAUCAAGAACGAAAGUCGGGGGAUCGAAGACGAUCAGAUACCGUCGUAGUCCCGACCGUAAACGAUGCC
Molecule: ribosomal RNA, 489 nt
Filed under: uncultured eukaryote
Lineage: Eukaryota
Description: bacterial SSU rRNA
Rfam family: Eukaryotic small subunit ribosomal RNA
Source: RNAcentral